CACGUAGGGGCGAGCGUUGUCCGGAAUUACUGGGCGUAAAGGGCGCGCAGGCUGUUAUGCGAGUCUGCUGUGAAAUGUACCGGCUCAACCGGUGCCUUGCGGCGGAUACUGCAUAGCUGGAGUACUGGAGAGGGAAGUGGAAUUCCCGGUGUAGCGGUGAAAUGCGUAGAUAUUCGGAGGAACACCAGUGGCGAAGGCGGCUUGCUGGGCUCUAACUGACGCUGAGGCUCGAAAGUGUGGGGAGCGAACAGGAUUAGAUA
RNAcentral lists this ribosomal RNA (260 nucleotides) under uncultured prokaryote. Its description in RNAcentral is "partial 16S ribosomal RNA". It matches the Rfam family "Bacterial small subunit ribosomal RNA", at positions 524 to 784 of the family's 1533-position model. The record is from RNAcentral.